Pelobates cultripes (western spadefoot toad) is the source of this 503-nucleotide non-coding RNA. NCBI's taxonomy places the organism in Eukaryota, Metazoa, Chordata, Amphibia, Anura, Pelobatidae. The record is from the annotation of a GenBank genome assembly.
GGGGGAUCUCAGAAACGAUACGUGAGGCAGAACUACCACGGGUCAUGAAACGUCUGCUUGUGACGAUACUGCCACCCACACAAGCCGACAACAUAAAUCCUGACUUUCUCUUCAAGAUCCCCAAACCACCGAAGGUGCCAACUGUGGCCACACGGAACAUCAUAGUAGCAUUCUGAAACAGAAUGGACAAAACAGCAGUCCUCGAUGCCCUGUGGGGAGAGACACCCCUACAAUUUGAAAACAUGGCGCUGAGCUUUUUUGCCAAUCUCUCCAGUGGCACCCUGGCAUGGCGACGAUCCCUUCAACCACUUACCACCCUUCUCCGCCAACAAGGCCUCAAAUACCGCUUGCGACCGCCCUACACACUAACCAUCCAGCAGGGACCUGAUCUGGGAACCGAGCGACGCAGCACUGCUCCUGCAAGCACUGGGUCAACCAAUGGACUCCCUCGAUCAGACAGGCCAGAAGAGCGCAACCUCCCCACAGCACAGGUGGGACCUGAC